CCUACGGGGGGCAGCAGUGGGGAAUAUUGGGCAAUGGGCGCAAGCCUGACCCAGCAACGCCGCGUGAAGGAAGAAGGCUUUCGGGUUGUAAACUUCUUUUCUCAGGGACGAAGAAAGUGACGGUACCUGAGGAAUAAGCCACGGCUAACUACGUGCCAGCAGCCGCGGUAAUACGUAGGUGGCAAGCGUUAUCCGGAUUUAUUGGGUGUAAAGGGCGUGUAGGCGGGAGCGCAAGUCAGAUGUGAAAACUCAGGGCUCAACCCUGAGCCUGCAUUUGAAACUGUGUUUCUUGAGUGCUGGAGAGGCAAUCGGAAUUCCGUGUGUAGCGGUGAAAUGCGUAGAUAUACGGAGGAACACCAGUGGCGAAGGCGGAUUGCUGGACAGUAACUGACGCUGAGGCGCGAAAGCGUGGGGAGCAAACAGGAUUAGAUACCCCAGUAGUC
This 443-nucleotide ribosomal RNA is filed under the name uncultured bacterium. RNAcentral's name for it is "partial 16S ribosomal RNA". It matches the Rfam family "Bacterial small subunit ribosomal RNA", at positions 338 to 795 of the family's 1533-position model. The record is from RNAcentral.